This 418-nucleotide ribosomal RNA is filed under the name Bacillus sp. HPB-5. RNAcentral describes it as "partial 16S ribosomal RNA". It matches the Rfam family "Bacterial small subunit ribosomal RNA", at positions 85 to 484 of the family's 1533-position model. Lineage: Bacteria; Bacillati; Bacillota; Bacilli; Caryophanales; Bacillaceae. The record is from RNAcentral.
UUUNANNCUNGCNCNGGANGGGUGAGUAACACGUGGNUAACCUGCCUGUANCACUGGGAUAACUCCGGGAAACCGGGGCUAAUACCGGAUGCUUGAUUGAACCGCAUGGUUCAAUCAUAAAAGGCGGCUUCGGCUGCCGUUUACAGAUGGACCCGCGGCGCAUUAGCUAGUUGGUGAGGUAANGGCUCACCAAGGCGACGAUGCGUAGCCNACCUGAGAGGGUGAUCGGCCACACUGGGACUGANACACGGCCCANACUCCUACGGGAGGCAGCAGUAGGGAAUCUUCCGCAAUGGACGAAAGUCUGACGGAGCAACGCCNCCGUGAGUGAUGAAGGUUUUCGGAUCGUAAAGCUCUUUUGUUAGGGAAGAACAAGUACCGUUCGAANAAGGGGGGUACCUUUGGACGGUACCUAAAC